GUAGUGCGCAUGCGCGAGACGCGGGACGGCAGUACGCAUGCGCGACAUUACGGAUGGCAGUUCGCAUGCGCGACGUUAUGGACGGCAGUACUCAUGCGCUAGCCGCGAGACGGCUGUACGCAUGGGCGACAUUAUGGACGGCAGUACGCAUGCGCGAGCGUCGAGCCGGCAGUACGCAUGCGCGACAUUACGGGCAGCAGUACGCUUGCGCGAGUUUCCAGACGGCAGUACGCAUGCGCGAUGUGCGAGACAGCAGUACGCAUGCGCGACAUUAUGGACGGCAGUACGCAUGCGCGAGCCCCGAGACGGAAGUGGCAGCAGAUACCGUGGAAACAACAACUCCGCCGCCUUUUAGCGGACUGCCUGGGACCGUGGGCGCGCAUCCCCUUCUCUCUUUCUUUUCUUGGCAGAGGAUGGUGGGGGGAAGAAGGGGAGACGACAAAGAAAAGCAAGGAAAACUUCGACAAACCCUCCAACCCCGUGCUAAAUGCUUUGGUAUACCUGUAAAUAAAUGAAUACAUAACCAGCAA
This 530-nucleotide long non-coding RNA is filed under the name Gallus gallus (chicken). RNAcentral describes it as "lncRNA (ENSGALG00010001543.1)". Lineage: Eukaryota; Metazoa; Chordata; Aves; Galliformes; Phasianidae. The record is from RNAcentral.